This 466-nucleotide ribosomal RNA is filed under the name uncultured bacterium. RNAcentral's name for it is "bacterial SSU rRNA". It matches the Rfam family "Bacterial small subunit ribosomal RNA", at positions 392 to 858 of the family's 1533-position model. The record is from RNAcentral.
CCAUGCCGCGUGCAGGAAGAAUGUCUUAUGGAUUGUAAACUGCUUUUAUACAAGAAUAAACAUAUCUACGUGUAGAUAUCUGAAUGUAUUGUAUGAAUAAGAAUCGGCUAACUCCGUGCCAGCAGCCGCGGUAAUACGGAGGAUUCAAGCGUUAUCCGGAUUUAUUGGGUUUAAAGGGUGCGUAGGCGGGACAUUCAGUCAGUGGUGAAAUUUUCAGGCUCAACCUGGAACCUGCCAUUGAAACUGAUGUUCUUGAAUUUAAUAGAAGUAUGAGGAAUGUGUAAUGUAGCGGUGAAAUGCUUAGAUAUUACACAGAACACCAAUUGCGAAGGCAUCAUACUAUGUUAACAUUGACGCUAAUGCANGAAAGCGUGGGUAGCGAACAGGAUUAGAUACCCUGGUAGUCCACGCCGUAAACGAUGAUUACUAGUUAUNGGCGAUACACAGUCAGUAACCAAGCGAAAGU